Molecule: non-coding RNA, 960 nt
Organism: Danio rerio (zebrafish)
Lineage: Eukaryota; Metazoa; Chordata; Actinopteri; Cypriniformes; Danionidae
Source: RefSeq, a predicted model, not a curated record
UCCAGUCAGAUUGAAGCAAGACGCCACAGCCGGAUUUCUGUACAUCCAUUUGCACAGUACUGUACAACAAGUUUCCUUUGCUGAGUUCCUUGGUCAGGCGUUUAAACACAUUUUCUGUCCAGUACUGCAGUUGGAAUUUUCCAUCAACAUUUUUAUGUUUUCACAGUACUAGGGUGCAGUAAGAGCACAAACACAGAGUUCAACUUUGAUUCAACUCCGUGAUUCUCUCAAGAGAGGCGACCAAAAUGUCUGACCUGCCAUAAAAUGAUUCGACUAUCUGCCGACCAAGAGAGGUUAUUCACCUUUUUUUUCCUCCUGUACAUUGCAUCAACACAGCACAGCAAAUAUCAAAGUUGAAAUUUAAUUUGAUUCAAAGAAGUGUCGCAUCAGAAUUUGGCUCAAAAUUGCACAAUAGAAAUUCGGCCUUAAGCCUGGUUUUUACUUCUGCGUUGAGUGAUUGGCGUGACCUACUGCGCCUGCCCUGCGUGCAGCUGAGCACUUAUACUUGUGCGCGCUGUUUGUGUUGUUCUACAAUAACACUUACAAAAGCAGUAGGUUUAUAUGUUCCCUCUGUAUGGACUUUCUUCGCUUGGGUUUUGUUUUUUCUGAACACUACCUUAAUGAACAAGCGGAUAAAACUCGCUCAUUCUGAGGCGGUAGCUGGCGGUCAUGCAACAACUUUAAUCAUAAGGUAAACACAAAGCAACAGUUUCCACCUGGAGCUAUUUCAUGGGACUCUACACUUGUAAACACUAGCUCCAAUGGGUUGGCGUGGCUCUCAACCCCGCCCACACACGUAAGCGCUACCAAGCCCACUAAUAGAACGUGCGCUACGUGUUGUUGCGAUGUGUAGUUACAUUUUUGGAGAGAUGCGCCACGGCAAGGGCUAUUCAACUGCGCGCAGGCUGCGUCGGACCAUACACGUGCAUUUGACGCAGAAGUAUAAAUCAGCCUUUACAU